Molecule: ribosomal RNA, 260 nt
Filed under: uncultured prokaryote
Description: partial 16S ribosomal RNA
Rfam family: Bacterial small subunit ribosomal RNA
Source: RNAcentral
UGAGGAAUUUUGCGCAAUGGGCGAAAGCCUGACGCAGCGACGCCGCGUGGAGGAAGACGGCCUUCGGGUUGUAAACUCCUGUCAGGGGUGAAGAAACUUCGCAAGAAGCUGACGGUAACCCCAGAGGAAGCCCCGGCUAACUACGUGCCAGCAGCCGCGGUAAUACGUAGGGGGCAAGCGUUGCUCGGGAUUACUGGGCGUAAAGGGGGUGUAGGUGGCUGAUUAAGUUAAGGAUGAAAUCCCGAGGCGCAACUUCGGAA